Non-coding RNA from Callorhinus ursinus (northern fur seal), 1253 nucleotides. Lineage: Eukaryota; Metazoa; Chordata; Mammalia; Carnivora; Otariidae. The record is from RefSeq and is a predicted model, not a curated record.
CGGCCCUGCCCCAGGGUCAGCCCCCGGCGCGGCUGCAGGCGUGGCCACCGGGUAUCGCCGGGGCCCUGGAGAGCUGAGUACCUGGUUUCCGGCCCGGGGUGUGCCCCUCCGUCCGCCCUAAACCCUGUCCGGUCGCAAGGGGUGUUCCUCGGAUCCCGGAGACACAGGCUCAGAGCUUGACAGGCCUGGGAGAGGUGGCCUGACUCACCAAGCCCGCUCAGUCUCUCCAAGUACCCGGGUUCAAAGGCUUCGCCCAGCAAUGCGCUGCCGCAGACUGGCCCUGGGCCUAGGAUUCUGCCUGCUGUUGGGCAUUGUCCUCUUUUUUCUGCGGAUGUCUGUGGAGAACUGGCUGCCCUUCUCCUAUGUCCCGUAUUACCUCCCCUGCCCAGAGAUCUUGUAAGUAUGGGGUGGGGAGAAUUUGGGCCCUGUGGGCUGCCUGGAGUGGGGACACUGGGUGAGUUUUAGGGUCACUUUGCAGGUUAUUAGGUCCUAAGCUCAUGAUUCUGAUCAGUUUGGUAAGUGUCGGGUAAUUUAUGGGCUGUGGAGUAAAAUGUCCAUGUCAGUCCUCUGGCGUCCCUGCAGCGCCCCCUCUGUGCUUUGACCUUGAGCAUGCCGCAGGGCUCUGAGCCUCACUUUUUCAUCUGUAAAAUGGGAUGAUGGAAGUCCCCUCCUGGGCCACCUGGAGCAUGGAGUGUGAUGACACCUGUAAAGAGUCAUCUGUAGCACACACCACACAGCAGGUGCUCAGGAAAUAGUUGGACUUGACUUUUUGCUAAAUUUUGUGUUCAGUGUGGAUUCAAGGAACAAAUUAACAUGGGACCAGACUUCCCCCCCAUAACGAACCUGACUUCUUGACAGUUAAGAGUGAAAAAAUGGGCUGGGACAGUCUUAAGUGGGGGAGGUAUCCUUGUGAUAGCUAGAGGCAAGUUUAAAAUCUGGUUCAUAGACUGCUAAUUAACCACAAGGCAUGUUUCACUGUUAUAAACAUAGAAUAUAGUCAGUUAGGAAGCUGGAAAGCAGAAAAGACAAGGAAAAAUACCCUCUUGCGUCCUACUGGUUUGAGUUAUACUUUGCUUCCAAAGUUCACGGUCAACUUGUUGGUUGCUGCCCUUUCUAGUUGAACCGACUGUGCAUCUUACUUGGUUCUAAAAGCAGAAAGGAUGCUUGCUAUUGAAAAUAGUUGUGAUCGGGGCGCCUGGGUGGCUCAGUCGGUUAAGCGGCUGCCUUCGGCUCAGGUCAUGAUCCUGGGGUCC